UACGAAGGGACCUAGCGUAGUUCGGAAUUACUGGGCUUAAAGAGUUCGUAGGUGGUUGAAAAAGUUAGUGGUGAAAUCCCAGAGCUUAACUCUGGAACUGCCAUUAAAACUUUUCAGCUAGAGUAUGAUAGAGGAAAGCAGAAUUUCUAGUGUAGAGGUGAAAUUCGUAGAUAUUAGAAAGAAUACCAAUUGCGAAGGCAGCUUUCUGGAUCAUUACUGACGCUGAGGAACGAAAGCAUGGGUAGCGAAGAGG
RNAcentral lists this ribosomal RNA (253 nucleotides) under uncultured Pelagibacterales bacterium. RNAcentral's name for it is "partial 16S ribosomal RNA". It matches the Rfam family "Bacterial small subunit ribosomal RNA", at positions 524 to 776 of the family's 1533-position model. Lineage: Bacteria; Pseudomonadati; Pseudomonadota; Alphaproteobacteria; Candidatus Pelagibacterales. The record is from RNAcentral.